This 246-nucleotide ribosomal RNA is filed under the name uncultured bacterium. RNAcentral's name for it is "partial small subunit ribosomal RNA". It matches the Rfam family "Bacterial small subunit ribosomal RNA", at positions 26 to 285 of the family's 1533-position model. The record is from RNAcentral.
AGAAUCAACGCUGGCGGCGUGCCUAACACAUGCAAGUCGAACGAGAAAGUGGAGCAAUCCAUGAGUAAAGUAGGCGACCGGGUGAGUAACACGUGACUAACCUACCUUCGAGUGGGGGAUAACCUCGGGAAACCGAGGCUAAUACCGCAUAACAUUGCAAGAUCAAAGCAGCAAUGCGCUGGAAGAGGGGGUCGCGGCUGAUUAGCUAGUUGGCGGGGUAACGGCCCACCAAGGCGAAGAUCGGUA